This 572-nucleotide unclassified non-coding RNA is filed under the name Aspergillus creber. RNAcentral describes it as "sequence contains 18S rRNA gene, ITS1, 5.8S rRNA gene, ITS2, 28S rRNA gene". The stretch from base 200 to 353 matches the Rfam family "5.8S ribosomal RNA". The record is from RNAcentral. Lineage: Eukaryota; Fungi; Ascomycota; Eurotiomycetes; Eurotiales; Aspergillaceae. RNAcentral also lists the same sequence under 1 other name.
UCGUAACAAGGUUUCCGUAGGUGAACCUGCGGAAGGAUCAUUACCGAGUGCGGGCUGCCUCCGGGCGCCCAACCUCCCACCCGUGACUACCUAACACUGUUGCUUCGGCGGGGAGCCCUCUCGGGGGCGAGCCGCCGGGGACUACUGAACUUCAUGCCUGAGAGUGAUGCAGUCUGAGUCUGAAUAUAAAAUCAGUCAAAACUUUCAACAAUGGAUCUCUUGGUUCCGGCAUCGAUGAAGAACGCAGCGAACUGCGAUAAGUAAUGUGAAUUGCAGAAUUCAGUGAAUCAUCGAGUCUUUGAACGCACAUUGCGCCCCCUGGCAUUCCGGGGGGCAUGCCUGUCCGAGCGUCAUUGCUGCCCAUCAAGCCCGGCUUGUGUGUUGGGUCGUCGUCCCCCCCGGGGGACGGGCCCGAAAGGCAGCGGCGGCACCGUGUCCGGUCCUCGAGCGUAUGGGGCUUUGUCACCCGCUCGAUUAGGGCCGGCCGGGCGCCAGCCGACGUCUCCAACCAUUUUUUUCAGGUUGACCUCGGAUCAGGUAGGGAUACCCGCUGAACUUAAGCAUAUCAAUAA